RNAcentral lists this transfer RNA (88 nucleotides) under Candidatus Staskawiczbacteria bacterium RIFCSPLOWO2_01_FULL_38_12b. RNAcentral's name for it is "tRNA-Ser". It matches the Rfam family "tRNA". From Rfam's summary of the family: Transfer RNA (tRNA) molecules are approximately 80 nucleotides in length. Their secondary structure includes four short double-helical elements and three loops (D, anti-codon, and T loops). Further hydrogen bonds mediate the characteristic L-shaped molecular structure. tRNAs have two regions of fundamental functional importance: the anti-codon, which is responsible for specific mRNA codon recognition, and the 3' end, to which the tRNAs corresponding amino acid is attached (by aminoacyl-tRNA synthetases). tRNAs cope with the degeneracy of the genetic code in two manners: having more than one tRNA (with a specific anti-codon) for a particular amino acid; and 'wobble' base-pairing, i.e. permitting non-standard base-pairing at the 3rd anti-codon position. The record is from RNAcentral. Lineage: Bacteria; Candidatus Staskawicziibacteriota.
GGAGAGGUACCAAAGCGGCUUAAUGGAACAGCUUGGAAAGCUGUGACUCGAAAGGGUCUCGUGGGUUCGAAUCCCACCCUCUCCGCCA